Molecule: ribosomal RNA, 448 nt
Filed under: uncultured bacterium
Lineage: Bacteria
Description: partial 16S ribosomal RNA
Rfam family: Bacterial small subunit ribosomal RNA
Source: RNAcentral
GCCAGACUCCUACGGGAGGCAGCAGUGGGGAAUAUUGCACAAUGGGGGAAACCCUGAUGCAGCGACGCCGCGUGAGUGAAGAAGUAAUUCGUUAUGUAAAGCUCUAUCAGCAGGGAAGAAAAUGACGGUACCUGAGUAAGAAGCCCCGGCUAACUACGUGCCAGCAGCCGCGGUAAUACGUAGGGGGCAAGCGUUAUCCGGAUUUACUGGGUGUAAAGGGAGCGUAGACGGAAAGGCAAGUCAGAAGUGAAAGCCCAAGGCUCAACCAUGGGACUGCUUUUGAAACUGUCAAACUGGAGUGUGUGAGAGGAUAGUGGAAUUCCAGGUGUAGGAGUGAAAUCCGUAGAUAUCUGGAGGAACAUCAGUGGCGAAGGCGACUAUCUGGCACAUAACUGACGCUGAGGAGCGAAAGCGUGGGUAGCAAACAGGAUUAGAUACCCUAGUAAAA